RNAcentral lists this ribosomal RNA (384 nucleotides) under uncultured bacterium. RNAcentral describes it as "bacterial SSU rRNA". It matches the Rfam family "Bacterial small subunit ribosomal RNA", at positions 30 to 414 of the family's 1533-position model. The record is from RNAcentral.
AUUGAACGCUGGCGGCAUGCCUUACACAUGCAAGUCGAACGGCAGCGCGGGGCAACCUGGCGGCGAGUGGCGAACGGGUGAGUAAUAUAUCGGAACAUACCCUAGAGUGGGGAUAACGUAGCGAAAGUUACGCUAAUACCGCAUACGCACUAAGGUGGAAAGUGGGGGAUUCGCAAGAACCUCAUGCUCAUGGAGUGGCCGAUAUCUGAUUAGCUAGUUGGUGAGGUAAAGGCUCACCAAGGCGACGAUCAGUAGCUGGUUUGAGAGAACGACCAGCCACACUGGAACUGAGACACGGUCCAGACUCCUACGGGAGGCAGCAGUGGGGAAUUUUGGGACAAUGGGGGCAACCCUGAUCCAGCAAUGCCGCGUGAGUGAAGAAGG